This 910-nucleotide ribosomal RNA is filed under the name Barrenia panicia. RNAcentral's name for it is "eukaryotic LSU rRNA". It matches the Rfam family "Eukaryotic large subunit ribosomal RNA", at positions 1 to 937 of the family's 3401-position model. The record is from RNAcentral. Lineage: Eukaryota; Fungi; Ascomycota; Leotiomycetes; Helotiales; Mollisiaceae.
GGUUGACCUCGGAUCAGGUAGGGAUACCCGCUGAACUUAAGCAUAUCAAUAAGCGGAGGAAAAGAAACCAACAGGGAUUACUCAGUAACGGCGAGUGAAGCGGUAACAGCUCAAAUUGAAAGCUGCCAACAGGCCGCGUUGUAAUUUGUAGAAGAUGCUUUGGGGGUAGGCCUAGUCUAAGUUCCUUGGAACAGGACGUCAUAGAGGGUGAGAAUCCCGUAUGUGAUUAGUGCCUGCUCCCGUGUAAAGCUCUUUCGACGAGUCGAGUUGUUUGGGAAUGCAGCUCAAAAUGGGUGGUAUAUUUCAUCUAAAGCUAAAUAUUGGCCAGAGACCGAUAGCGCACAAGUAGAGUGAUCGAAAGAUGAAAAGCACUUUGGAAAGAGAGUUAAACAGUACGUGAAAUUGUUGAAAGGGAAGCGCUUGCAACCAGACUUGCAGGCGGUCGAUCAUCCGAGGUUCUCCCCGGUGCACUCGAUCGUCUUCAGGCCAGCAUCGGUUUUGGUGGCGGGAUAAAGGCUCUAGGAAUGUGGCUCUUCGGAGUGUUAUAGCCUAGGGUGCAAUGCCGCCUACCGGGACCGAGGACCGCGCUUCGGCUAGGAUGCUGGCGUAAUGGUUGUAAGCGGCCCGUCUUGAAACACGGACCAAGGAGUCUAACAUCUAUGCGAGUGUUUGGGUGUCAAACCCAUACGCGUAAUGAAAGUGAACGGAGGUGAGAGCCCUUUAGGGCGCAUCAUCGACCGAUCCUGAUGUCUUCGGAUGGAUUUGAGUAAGAGCAUAGCUGUUGGGACCCGAAAGAUGGUGAACUAUGCGUGAAUAGGGUGAAGCCAGAGGAAACUCUGGUGGAGGCUCGCAGCGGUUCUGACGUGCAAAUCGAUCGUCAAAUUUGCGUAUAGGGGCGAAAGACUAAUCG